GUUUGAAAUAGCUUGUUAAGACCUGAAAUGAAUUAAUUGAUUUGAUUUUUUUUGACAGUGCACCCAGAGAAAAGUCUCAGAAAGCUAUCCAGGAUGAAAUCCGUUCAGUGAUCAGACAGAUCACAGCUACAGUGACAUUUCUGCCACUGUUGGAAGUUUCUUGUUCAUUUGAUCUGCUGAUUUAUACAGACAAAGAUUUGGUUGUACCUGAAAAAUGGGAAGAGUCGGGACCACAGUUUAUUACCAAUUCUGAGGAAGUCCGCCUUCGUUCAUUUACUACUACAAUCCACAAAGUAAAUAGCAUGGUGGCCUACAAAAUUCCUGUCAAUGACUGAGGAUGACAUGAGGAAAAUAAUGUAAUUGUAAUUUUGAAAUGUGGUUUUCCUGAAAUCAAGUCAUCUAUAGUUGAUAUGUUUUAUUUCAUUGGUUAAUUUUUACAUGGAGAAAACCAAAACGAUACUUACUGAACUGUGUGUAAUUGUUCCUUUUAUUUUUUGGUACCUAUUUGACUUACCAUGGAGUUAACAUCAUGAAUUUAUUGCACAUUGUUCAAAAGGAACCAGGAGGUUUUUUUGUCAACAUUGUGAUGUAUAUUCCUUUGAAGAUAGUAACUGUAGAUGGAAA
This 624-nucleotide small RNA is filed under the name Pongo abelii (Sumatran orangutan). RNAcentral describes it as "retained intron". Lineage: Eukaryota; Metazoa; Chordata; Mammalia; Primates; Hominidae. The record is from RNAcentral.